RNAcentral lists this ribosomal RNA (301 nucleotides) under uncultured bacterium. RNAcentral describes it as "partial 16S ribosomal RNA". It matches the Rfam family "Bacterial small subunit ribosomal RNA", at positions 509 to 809 of the family's 1533-position model. The record is from RNAcentral.
CAGCAGCCACGGGAAUACAGAGGGUGCAAGCGUUAAUCGGAAUUACUGGGCGUAAAGCGCGCGUAGGUGGUUUGUUAAGUUGGAUGUGAAAGCCCCGGGCUCAACCUGGGAACUGCAUCCAAAACUGGCAAGCUAGAGUACGGUAGAGGGUGGUGGAAUUUCCUGUGUAGCGGUGAAAUGCGUAGAUAUAGGAAGGAACACCAGUGGCGAAGGCGACCACCUGGACUGAUACUGACACUGAGGUGCGAAAGCGUGGGGAGCAAACAGGAUUAGAUACCCCCGUAGUCCCUGUCUCUUAUAA